RNAcentral lists this ribosomal RNA (254 nucleotides) under uncultured bacterium. RNAcentral's name for it is "partial 16S ribosomal RNA". It matches the Rfam family "Bacterial small subunit ribosomal RNA", at positions 524 to 776 of the family's 1533-position model. The record is from RNAcentral.
UACGGGGGGGGGCAAGCGUUGUUCGGAAUUACUGGGCGUAAAGGGCUCGUAGGCGGCCAACUAAGUCAGACGUGAAAUCCCUCGGCUUAACCGGGGAACUGCGUCUGAUACUGGAUGGCUUGAGUUCGGGAGAGGGAAGUGGAAUUUCCGGUGUAGCGGUGAAAUGCGUAGAUAUCGGAAGGAACAUCAGUGGCGAAAGCGACUUCCUGGACCAAUACUGACGCUCAUGUGCGAAAGCGUGGGGAGCAAACAGG